UACCCGCAGCACGAGUGGUGGUCACUCUUAUUGGGCCUAAAGCGUCCGUAGCCUGUCACGUAAAUGCCUGGGUAAAUCGAUGCGCUCAACGUAUCGAAUUCCGGGUAGACUGCGUGACUUGAGACCGGGAGAGGUGUGAGGUACUCCGGGGGUAGGGGUAAAAUCCUGUAAUCCUCGGGGGACCACCAGUGGCGAAGGCGUCACACUGGAACGGUUCUGACGGUGAGGGACGAAGCCCUGGGGCGCAAACCGGAUUAGAUACCCCGGUAGUCC
RNAcentral lists this ribosomal RNA (273 nucleotides) under uncultured bacterium. RNAcentral's name for it is "partial 16S ribosomal RNA". It matches the Rfam family "Archaeal small subunit ribosomal RNA", at positions 474 to 747 of the family's 1478-position model. The record is from RNAcentral.